RNAcentral lists this ribosomal RNA (467 nucleotides) under uncultured bacterium. RNAcentral describes it as "bacterial SSU rRNA". It matches the Rfam family "Bacterial small subunit ribosomal RNA", at positions 330 to 795 of the family's 1533-position model. The record is from RNAcentral.
UCCAGACUCCUACGGGAGGCAGCAGUGAGGAAUAUUGGUCAAUGGCCGAAGGGCUGAACCAGCCAAGCCGCGUGAAGGAAUAAGGCCCUACGGGUCGUAAACUUCUUUAGUCAGGGAACAAAGGGUGCCACGCGUGGCGCUGUGAGUGUACCUGAAGAAUAAGCAUCGGCUAACUCCGUGCCAGCAGCCGCGGUAAUACGGAGGAUGCGAGCGUUAUCCGGAUUUAUUGGGUUUAAAGGGUGCGCAGGCGGAUUUUUAAGUCAGCGGUCAAAUCGUGGGGCUCAACCCCAUCCAGCCGUUGAAACUGGGGAUCUAGAGUGUGCGAGAGGUAUGCGGAAUGCGUGGUGUAGCGGUGAAAUGCAUAGAUAUCACGCAGAACCCCGAUUGCGAAGGCAGCAUACCGGUGCACAACUGACGCUCAGGCACGAAAGCGUGGGUAUCGAACAGGAUUAGAUACCCUCGUAAUG